This 460-nucleotide ribosomal RNA is filed under the name uncultured bacterium. Its description in RNAcentral is "partial 16S ribosomal RNA". It matches the Rfam family "Bacterial small subunit ribosomal RNA", at positions 338 to 795 of the family's 1533-position model. The record is from RNAcentral.
CCUACGGGGGGCAGCAGUGAGGAAUAUUGGUCAAUGGACGCAAGUCUGAACCAGCCAUGCCGCGUGCAGGAAGACGGCUCUAUGAGUUGUAAACUGCUUUUGUACGAGGGUAAACGCAGAUACGCGUAUCUGUCUGAAAGUAUCGUACGAAUAAGGAUCGGCUAACUCCGUGCCAGCAGCCGCGGUAAUACGGAGGAUUCAAGCGUUAUCCGGAUUUAUUGGGUUUAAAGGGUGCGUAGGCGGUCGGAUAAGUUAGAGGUGAAAUCCCGAGGCUCAACUUCGGAAUUGCCUUUGAUACUGUUCGGCGAGAGAGUAGUUGCGGUAGGCGGAAUGUAUGGUGUAGCGGUGAAAUGCUUAGAGAUCAUACAGAACACCGAUUGCGAAGGCAGCUUACCAAGCUACUUCUGACGUUGAGGCACGAAAGCGUGGGGAGCAAACAGGAUUAGAUACCCGUGUAGUC